GGGAACUACGAGCCAAGCUUAAAACCCAAAGGACUUGACGGUACCCCAUAUCCCCCUAGAGGAGCCUGUCCUAUAAUCGAUAACCCCCGUUUAACCUCACCAUUUCUAGCAACUCAGCCUGUAUACCUCCGUCGUCAGCUUACCACGUGAGCGCUAGUGAGCUCAAUGUUCUUUCAACUAAACGUCAGGUCAAGGUGCAACACAUGAAAUGGGAAGAGAUGGGCUACACUUUCUAACAUAGACCACACGGAAGACUAACUAUGAAAUCUAGUCAGAAG
This 278-nucleotide ribosomal RNA is filed under the name Ranitomeya amazonica. RNAcentral describes it as "partial 12S ribosomal RNA". It matches the Rfam family "Bacterial small subunit ribosomal RNA", at positions 875 to 1288 of the family's 1533-position model. Lineage: Eukaryota; Metazoa; Chordata; Amphibia; Anura; Dendrobatidae. The record is from RNAcentral.